This 69-nucleotide transfer RNA is filed under the name Pheidole nodus. Its description in RNAcentral is "tRNA-Leu". RNAcentral also lists the same sequence under 1 other name. The record is from RNAcentral. Lineage: Eukaryota; Metazoa; Arthropoda; Insecta; Hymenoptera; Formicidae.
AUUAUUUUGGCAGAUUAGUGCAUUAAAUUUAGAAUUUAAUAAAAAUAUAAAAAUUUUAUAUAGAUAAUA